UGGGCGUCUGUCGUCCGAUCCCUCGUGGGUUUUUCCAGGUUCCUGUGCUGUGUACCCGUGGAAUGGUAGUUUGGAGUCCCGUUCUCCCUAUCCGCCGGAUGCCUCCCCAGGGCUCCCGGCGGAACUCUUGGCGUGGCCCUGUGUUCCCGGCACUCUCUGCACCUUGUGGUGCUGCCGUGGUCACAUGGUGCUCUCGCCUGUCCCAUUGGAUGUGGAAGAAUCGCGUGGGCUCGGGGUGUCGGUCCCUAAUCUGUCCAUACAAAGCGUUUUGUCGCUCGACAUGCCUGACGUCCUCGCGGUGCCGCGCCCUCCCCCGUCCCCAUGUGGGCUGGUCGGGAGACGGCUCG
RNAcentral lists this unclassified non-coding RNA (347 nucleotides) under Tetratheca hirsuta. RNAcentral describes it as "partial contains external transcribed spacer and 18S ribosomal RNA". Lineage: Eukaryota; Viridiplantae; Streptophyta; Magnoliopsida; Oxalidales; Elaeocarpaceae. The record is from RNAcentral.